This 9650-nucleotide long non-coding RNA is filed under the name Brachypodium distachyon (stiff brome). RNAcentral describes it as "long non-coding RNA (BDIS_LNC004107)". The stretch from base 8683 to 8817 matches the Rfam family "MIR1120/MIR1122 microRNA precursor family". The record is from RNAcentral. Lineage: Eukaryota; Viridiplantae; Streptophyta; Magnoliopsida; Poales; Poaceae.
AGAUACCCAUCAUCUUCUUCUCCAGAGACACCUGGCUUCUUGGGCACAAAAACUGCCUCUGAACCGUACCUGCCAGGUCCCAGGUCAUAUAUGCCUGUCACGUUUCCCCCAACUUCAAGCUGCUUCUUGCCACUUUCUGGUUCAGCGUGUAGGUCAAACUUUAUGAUGCCAGUCACCUUUGCUAUGCUGUCGAGCAUGGUGCAGUACACGUACCGCUGCUUUCUGCAUUCAACAGAAGUAACAGAUCAGGGAGAUUUGAUAGCUUCAGGACAAAAUCUUACUCUCUAAAUGAACGCGGUUUCUCAAUGAUGCUAAGUUGAUAGUUCUUAAGAAGAGGAACUUUGAAGUUGAAGGUUCAAACCUCCAGCAAAAUUCAGUACCUGCCAGUAUAGCUCUCGUUAAUUCGAGGAAAGUCUACGGCGGAGACAGACAGUUGCUUCUGUGAAGCAGCACCAGUUUUCAUGUUGAAUCGCAUCUCGUACCUAAAAAUAAUAACAUUAGGCCGAGCAUUGGAUUGUAUGGAAUUAGAAUAAAGUUGAGAUUGUAGGUAUAUACAGCUCGUUCCCAAAGUUCUCAAGCUUCUCGUUCUGGUGACCAUUCACCUUGUCCAAAUCUGGAUUCUCGAGGCGGCAGGUAAUUAGAAUAACUUCAUCGCCCUCUUCCCAAGCAUUAGCUGUGACAGGAGAUACUUCUUGUGAUUAGGUCACUAAGAUUAGUAUGAAAUGAAAUACUGAUGAUUAGAUCGUGUCCGUGUAAUGUAUGGAUUGCAACAAUCAGAUGACAUACUUCAACAGAAGGUUACGGAUGGCAUACCAUUGUGGAAAAUGAAGCAAUUGGGGAGUUCAAACCAUCUGAUAUUUUUCUCAUCCUUUUCAUACCGUUGGAGUAUACCGAAACGAGCUUUCUUUGUAGGAUCAAACUUGUAGAUGAAUUCACCAUUCUUCACCAUUUCCUUUAUACAAGAAUCCCAAACAACAAGAUUAGAUUACGACACAGAGAUUGAACCCUUUAUCAACUAAUGCAAACAUGUGCCUAUCUCAUGCAACUGUGAAGCAAAUGUUGACUAGGUCAUCCUUCAACAGCAGAAAAACAAAUGUACAAAGGCAUUUAUCAUUCAUGACAUUGCCUGUCAACCUGAAAUGCAUGAAACAUCAUGUACCUUUGGUCGAAACAACAAAGGCAGGUCCAUGAAUAUGGAAUAGUUCUCUGUGAUGGCAAAGUCAUGCAUCAUUACGGAUUCUGGUAUUGUAAUUGGCACAGGAUCAAGCAUAACUCCAUCCUUGGUUAUGACCCGGUAUGUACAAUAAGGAGGUUCAUGUGAGUACCCAAAGGUGAACAUUUCAUCUGAAAGAAGGAAAACUACAUCGUUUAACCCAAUUGUCCUAAAAGAAAUUAAGAAAUAGAACACAUUACCCUAAUAUACCUGUAAAUGGAUCAACCUUUGGAUGAGCAGUGAAAGAAUGUUUCAACCUUUUGUCAUAAUCCAACAACCCAAGAGUUUGCAGGUCACCAUCUUCAAGGACCUUAACAACGUCUGAAAACAAAAUAGAAACUCAUGUUAACAGUUGCAUACCUAUUGUCCUGGAUGUGGGAUUUGUGGAUGACAACAAGUUGCAACAAGCUGUAAUAAUUUACAAUCGUACAUGUAGAAUUUACUGGGACAAAACAUGAUAUGCAAUAAUUACUUAGAACAUAGUAUUUUAUAAUGGUCUCGAUGAAUGAAUUAAUUUAGCUUUUUUUACAUGAGACAGGUAUGUUUCUGCUCUAUUCUGGGAAAUAUAAAGGUUUCAUAGCAACUCAAAGAAUUAGCUGCCCACGCAACCACGCUUAAGGCCCCUAUUUCGAAUGGCAUACACACAUGCACAUAGAAAAAGAAUUGUGCAAACAGGCUGAGGACUUACAAGGUUUAUCUGCUUCCGACAGGGCCAUGAGUUUGCCAUGAUGGUAUACAAGUGCAGUAUUAGCUGGAAGAGAAGGAAAUGGAUCAAUAAAAUAAAUGGUACUACAAUAAAACUGCCAUGAAAAGAUAUGUAGAUGUAUAUCAUAUAGUGUCUGCAUAAGGGAAAGAAGUACCUGUCCCGAUUCCAUAAGUAGCAUCCAAAACUUUAAGCUUUUUCCUAAGUUCUUGCAUUUGGACCAUGAACAAUCCAAAAAAGCCUUUCAGGUCUCCAAUCUGUAAAAGUUGGAAAAAAGAUCACUUGGAUGCACCACUGAUUUUCAGAUAUAGCUACGAGGCCAUCACUAAACCUUCCAGUGGGCAGGGAAAGUUAUAGCUACGAGGCCAUCACUAAUACUUAGUGUUAAUGUUGUAAACCUACAUGCGAGCACAGGUAGAUUUGCGAGCACUAAAAGCAUACUGAAGAAAAUUAGGUUGGGCAUAAGAUUGGCUAUGCCAUUAAGAACUAAUCUGAUCAGAGAGCUUCCCCAAACAAAAAUGAUGGGAUUAAGUCAGAGGUAUGCGUGGUAUAUAUUAGAUCUUAAUUAACUGGGAAGAAAAAUCCCAAGCAUCAAUAGGAAAAACAGAGCUAAAAACAUAUUCAAGUUUUUGGAUCAAAUAAGAAACUUACCUUCAUAAACUUUGCUCCCCCAAAAUACUCUUCUUGCUUGAGGCGAGAAGUUUUCACGUAUCUUGAUACAUAUGUAGCUUUCCCAUCUUUAAUACGCAUUGCAUGGAUCAUUCUGUCAGAAACAAUGUAGAGGUUGAUGUAAAAGUGAACCAUACUAUAGCAUAUUUGCAGCUAAGAUCAUUUUCUGCAGAUACCCAAAAAAGUUCGAAACGUAGAUGAAAACUUGAUUUUGUAUCAAAAAGCUUGAGCUAGUAUUGCAAUCUUGAUUUAGAGAUAAUAAUGCUGAAGUUUGUGUUAGACCGUCGUCUGUAGCGUGGCAAAUGUGGCCAUCGAACAGAAAAAUAAGUGGUACGGAAAAAAGUUCUUAAAAAGUACACUUCUUUCUAUAUAAAGCCGGGCGAAUGCCUUUUCUCUAAAAAACAGUUCUUAAAACAGGACAAAAUGAAUGUACAACACUAAGCUAGAUCUGCAGUAUUCCAAACAGAAGAGAUUGCAUCACAUACCCAUCUCCGUCAAACCUGCAAAACAGAAAAGCAAAAUAAAAAAUUAAUUAAAAAAUGAUGCUACAUUAUUGGAAGCAAAAGAUGUGACGAUGAGCACUUGAUUUACAAAAAAAUUCAGUACGACUACUACAGUUAAAUUGUGUGCAUCAAAGUAGAUGUGGAUAACUGUAGUCCCUCUGUUGAAUGAGGAUAACAGUCGGUGUUUAUGCCCUUAGGACCACAUAGGGAUGUUGACGAGUUUGCUGGGAACUGGUGAAGACCAGAAUCAUGUCUAUAUGACAAAGGUAAAUUUCAUCAAGAGUCAAUACCAGUGAUAGCCUGCAACAGGGACAAACUUGGGAUUAGGGCCCACCCUGACAAACUCUCCAUUCAAGCACUCCUGUAGAUAGCAAAAAAGGAACACUAUAAAAAAAGGGCAGCCCGGUGCACGUCAAAAAAGGAACACUAUGAGGAAAAGAAAAAGGAUAAUCUAGCAGGGGCUGCAAGAAUUCGUAAGAAAAAAAGAGAAAUUCUUGAAGGAAGUGAUGAAUAACCAGUUCCUCGAAGGAUAGUGUAUUUUAUUAUUUUUGCAAAUUAGCAUAUAGGUUGUUCUUAUAGAAUGCUGGAAACAGAUGUAAUUUGCACCUAAAAGAAGUUUGAUCAAAAGGCCAGAUCCUGGCCUACCAGACAUAGGUUGAAUGAGCCAGUGAAGAUAAAGAGUAAUGAAUAAGAGAACAAAGUAUACGAUAUUUUGGCCACAACAAAAAAUGUAAAUAUACUAGCAGACAGAGAUAAGGACAUAAGGUAAGACUAAAAGAUAUUUUGGUCACAAUAAAAAAUAUAAAUAUGCAUGCAGACACGUUGGUAGCUAUCCUAGUAUUUCAAUUUUCACAAUGGGCCGAGGUAAACAAUAGUUUCCCCAAUAAUGAGGUAAACAAGUUGUAGCUUGAGUUAUUCUAGAGAUCCCAGAGAAGACCGUGAUAAUUCCUUGUGAUGGUGGCACCAUAUAUCCAUAUUAUUACACAGAGACUAUUUUGUGACUUCCUUGAUUCCUUCGAGAGAUGAAACGAGGAAAAGCAAUAACAAUAAUCAGGAUGCAAAAAGAUACUAGGAGGGGAGAAAAAGAGGGAUAAAAGGUGAGCAGUACUAAUCAGCAAUGUCCUGUAAAUAAAACCAAGGUUUUUGACAUGCAAGGGAGAAGGAAAGGUUCUCCUCCUAUUCAUCCAGGACGACAGACUGAACUUUUUUAAACGCACAUAUUUGCCGGGUAGUAGUAAAAUACUGUAGUAACAAGGUGUCAUGCCAAGAGGCAUUAAUUUGAGGUAUCUACUCCUGGGGUUGACUAGAAAGGUGUAUUUGUCGACUCCUGACUUGCUGAGCAAAAUAUUUUUAAUUCCAAUCUUCCACGGUUGACUAACGAUGUUAGUGUUUGGUAGUAUCAUCUCAAGUUGUGCACUGGAUGGAGGGUUUGGACUUUGGAACUCCGAAUUCAGAUAAGGGUUUACAGAGAAGCCAUAGAAUUUCGGUUUACAGUUGAGCACCGUGAAACAAAAAUCAUCUAUUUUUUGACGGCAGAAACGUGAGAGUAGCAGAGAUUAGAUUAGCAGAGAGAAGGGGAAGGACAAGGGGGUUGCAGUGCAGACCGGGAGGUGUCCCCGGACGGGGAGGUCGGGCGCCGGCGGGGUCUCGUCGACGACGGGGGCGAAGUUGCCGGAGAGCCAGUGGAGCGGCUGGGUCUUGUCAUGGCCGAGGCGGACGGCGAGGCGCUCCAGCAGGUCCACCGCCCACGAGGCCACCCCCUUGCGCGGCCUAGGCGCCGGCGCCACCACCAGGCUCUUGGGGAUAUCCUCCGCUGCCGCCGCCGCCGCUUCUCCCAUGGCCGCCCUCCUCUUCGCGCGCUAUCGAAAUUGUUGGUUUGGCGGGGCGGGGGGAUCUGGUAUGGGAGGCUGGGCGGAGAUGCUCAACGCAUUUGGUCUUGGCAGUUUCGUAUGAGCCACCCACAUCCACACCGGACGACAGGACAGGAGAGGAGAGACGGCAGCAGCAAGAGCAAUGGUGUGUGUGUGGCAGUGACAGAUACAGCAACGCAGCGCCUGGUUUUGGUGACAUCCACAUCUUUUACACCUGGCCUGAAAUUCAUCGUCUACGAUGUCACUGAUUUAGUACAAAAUUACAAAUUACACAUGUACUACUAAGUCAGCUACGUUUAUUAUGGAUAGGAGGAAUUAGCUGUUUAUCGAGUAGAAAUGUGCACAAUCUGCUGACUUGCGUAGCGGGCCGAAACUGCUUAAACAGUAAGAUUUGAUAGCGUGUGGUUUUGGUGAGUAGUGUAGUCAGUUGAUCCACACACCUUUCACAGUUUACACUAGGCACCGUCCAGAUUAACCGUUUUCAGUGGAAAUCGUAAUUUUUGACAUUCGAAACCCGACAGGCACCAUGAUAUAUCAUGCUUAAGAAUAAUUAAGAAGAAGAAAUAGGCGGCAGAGCACUCAUGCUGGUGGACGUACGCAGCCAAUUAACAUGAAUUGAGGGAAAAGAUGAAGCAAUCUUUUAUUUCUUCCUUUUGCUGGAAACAUGAAUGUUCUGUGGGCAGUAGACUAGUUCCAAAUCCAUCUGGAUAUUUAUCAGACCAGAAUAUUACAUAUAAAAUGUACGUGUAUUCUAAGUGGGGAACGUGCCCCACCUCGCCUUACACAACGGCGCGCUUUGAGAUUGGUGAAAACUGAAUCGUGCGACCCAGGCUCCGCCCGUGUUCCCUGCCCCCGAUCCUCUCUCAUCCCCAUCUUUUCCUUUCUUCUUCAUUCCGCCGACGCCACCAGCCCCAACUCAGAUCCCGGUCAACUCCCUCCCUCCCCACGGGCCACGGCUACCGUCCGGCUCGCCGCUCCUCUCUCACUUCCACCGCCGCUGCACCAUUCCCCUGCAUCCAGCGUCGCUGCUUUGCCCGUUGGUCCCCCUAUCCCCCAGAUCAAGCGCACAGCAACAGCAGGGAGAGGACGGCAGUGGGGGAGUGGCGCGAGAGCAAGACGAGGUGGACCGCCGCCAUCUCCGCCCCUUCGCAAGUACGUCUCUUCGUCGCCUCACUGUCCAACCCCUCCUCCUCCUCAUGCCUCGACGCCGUCCGUGCAGAUCCCCACGAGACAUCUCCCUCUCUUCUACUUGCCUCCAGCGUCUCAUGUGAACUCCUCAGGCCCGCCACGGCUGUGCCGCAAUCCACAGCGCGUAAAGGUCAAGGACUGGCGGUCGGCGCCUCCUCGUCUUGGCAGCCGUCUUCGCCGUGAUGGAUGCCUCUGGGUCAGCCAAGGCCCUCUAGUCUGCACUGCAGCACCAACAGAUGUGUUCCCUCCUCAUCUGCAGCCUCCCCUAUGUAUCUGUGACCUGACCGUGAUUUUGAUUUUGUCCCCCCAUGUGCCUUGCUGAAUCUGUACCUUCCAUGAAAAUUAAGUAUUUCACGAUGCAUGUGCUCACCAGGAGGAAGGAGAAGAAGAGGGGUGACAACAUGGCACUCAUAUUCGCUGGCCUUCAAGCUUUUGUGGACGACACUACUACGUUGCUUGCUGAUUGCGUAUCGGUGAAUGUACAUAUAUGUCUACCCUAUUUAUAGUCUAUUCUUCUCAAAGGAAACAAAACGAGAAGUCUGAUUGGAGAUAUCACCGUGUUGUGUGGUCACCAGGUUCUCUUGAUUUGCGAAAGCUAGGCCCCGUUGUUGUCCAUGACAAGCCAUUUUACUGUGAAAUCGUCAUAAUGUCAAGGUUAGCUCCCUACCAUCUCUCCCAUGUUUAUUUUGUGUCUACUAGUUUUGAUGCAAUUCACGCAAUGCUCAAAUGUUUGAUGAAUCAGUCUAUCCAAUUUUUUUCAUGAGAAGAACUCCUGAUCAUGGUAACCUAACCCAAAGAACCUGGUAGCUACUUGCAGAGAAUCUGGCAGGUGUUUGGAAAGAACCUGGUAGCUAUAGCGGAAAACCUGGUAUCUCUAUUUUUCAGAAAACCUGGUGUCUAUGUAGGAAAACAUUGUAGUUGUUUGUGAAGCACUUGGUAGUUGUUUCAAAAGAACCCGGAAAUUUUUUGGUAGCUUUACAAGAUAGCUUUGCAUGUUUAUUCAUCGUCAUAUUCUGAACAACUUGGUACUAGUUGUUUGUAAAGAACCUUGUAGGAUUUGUAAACAACAUGGUAGUUAUUUGGACAAAAAGCAGGUAGCUAUUUCCGAAAAAACUUGGUAGCUAUGCGGAAAGAACAUGGCACGUGUAUGAAACCCGAUAGCUAAUUGGAAACAACCCGGUAGUUGUUUAGAAAGAACAUGGUAGCUGUUUAGAAAGAACCUGGCAGCUAUAUGGAAAAACUGGUGGAUAUAUCUGAAAACACGGUAGUUGUUUGUGAAGAAGUUAUUUGUAAAUUAAGAACUUGUCAAUUCGUUUUCUAAAUAACCUGGCAAUUGUUUGCAAAGAACAUGGCAAUUGUUUGUAAAAAAAUCUGGCAAUUUAUUUUCUAAAUAACCUGGCAAUUAAUUAUUUUGUAGAGAACGUGGCAAUUUGUUUCUAAUCAACCUGACAUUUGUUUGCAAGGAACCUGGCAACUAUUUGUGUAUAACCUAGCGAUUGUUUGGAAAGAACCUGGCAAUUUGUUUGUGAAGAAUUUGAUUCUAAUCAACCUGGCAAUUUAUUACGAACAACAUGGCAAUUGUUUGUAAAGAACCCAACAAUCUGGCAAUUGCUUGCAAGGAACCUGGCAACUAUUUGUAAAUAACCUGGCCGUUGUUUGGAGAGAACCUGGCAAAAAAAAUUUGUGAAGAAUUUGAUUCUAAUAAACCUAUCUAUUUUUUUACAAAGAACCUGGCAAUUGUUAUAAAGAACGUGGUAUUUGUUUAUAAAGAACCUGGUAAUUGUUUAGAAAGAUCCGUGUAGCUGUUUGUAUAGUUCAUUUCUCUUAGUCUUCCUCUUUUAUUGUUAUCAAUAGUGAGAAAUAUAUGUGUUCAUAUUCAUUUCUCAACAUGAGUAGCAGUCGAUCAGCGUCGGUUUCAAAGAAGUGAUGUUCCUGUCUUGUUGGGUCAAGACAAGCUGGUAGGCAGCAAUGGUCGGCCGGUCAAUGACUCGGGGAGGUGAAUGAGGAGCUAGAUCAGCAACCUCGGCAACAUACUGUGGUGGAUGAAGAAGAUUUUCGUGGCAACAAAGAGUUCAAAGAAAAUGCGUUUCGUUUGCCUCCACAAAAAUGCUCAUAUGCAAACUUGUAAAUUUGGCUCCAUGAUGUCUGAUAAAGUGGUGCUGCAAUUUUCAGUUUUAAAGGCUAAAUAUUUGAUGGUUUUAGAAGACGUUGUGCUUAUUAUAAUGUUGUCGUAUACAUGUGUGUGUGCCUAUACGAUGUAUGAGUCGUCUAUUUUUCUUGCUGGAAAAAAUUAACUAGUUUUAAAAAGAAAUGGAUGAGGAAGAGAUGCAUGCAAGGACCAGAAAUGGCCCAGUAAACAUUUGUUGUGCACAUGCCGUCUCUGCAAGACAAGCCUAACUGCCUAAGCUGGAGCACAUGGGCCGUACAUGCUACAACCUACGAAGGCUGGCGGAGGCUUUCGCGCGGCAGCAUGGCAGGCGCCGCUUGCGAGCCUUACGUGGGGCCACGCCGCUCCUUAGUCAGCUUCUAAAAUGUAUACUACUCCUCCGUCGAACGAAAGAUGUCUCAGCUUUGGCUAAAUUUAAAUGCAUCUAUACACUAAGUCAUGUUUAGAUACAUCCAAAUUUUGAUAAACUUAAGACAUCUUUUAUUGGACGGAUGGAGUACUGUAUAUAUGUACUUGAACGUAUGUACAUCUCCUUCUACGUAGUACACGUAUUUGAGGGCGUAUACCAAUUUACCUCCUAUACAGAACAUGCAAUUUAUUAUUUUUUCCAACGUGUGUAGGCAGAAUAUAUAUGCAUGCAGAUCCAGUUCGUUCUGGGUUCACUCCGUUGCUUGUCGUCCCAGUUGUUCCUGUCAAAACAAAAACCAGGUUUAUUUACUUUCUCAUUUCUCACAUACCAACUUACUAUUUUCGUUACCAAUUGCAAAUUGCAAAUAGUAGCUACCAAUUAAAUUUUUAUAUACGAGCUUGAUCGAUAAAAAAAACGGAACAUUUCAUUACCUCGUUAACAAAGAAGGCAUGGAAUCCGUAAGGAACCCGGUUCGGCAGCUCAACAACUGCUACUGGAUCAGCUGACAUUGUCUUGGCAUCAAUCACAUUGACUUCAGAUUUCCUGCAUCCACAACAUAAGAAACGACAGAUUAAAGCUCCAAAUUUGGGUAGAGCAACUUUUUUAUGAAACUUCUUAAGCAUCGCACCAGCACAGCGCUAUGCAGAAAAAUAAGAAGGGAAUGAAGAGUACCCUGUGUUCUCGUCAUGGACGAAGAAUAUCAGAUAGCCAUCAUCUUCUUCUCCAGAGACACCUGGCUCCUUGGGCACAAAAACUGCCUCUGAACCGUACCUGCCAGGUCCCAGGUCAUAUAUGCCUCUCACGUUCCCCCCAACUUCAAGCUGCUUCUUGCCACUCUCUGCUUCAGCGUGUAGGUCAAACUUUAUGAUGCCAGUCACCUUCGCUAUGCUGUCGAGCACGGUGCAGUACACGUACCGCUGCUUUCUU